This is a long non-coding RNA of Oncorhynchus keta (chum salmon), 5187 nucleotides long. RefSeq lists it as uncharacterized. The record is from RefSeq and is a predicted model, not a curated record. NCBI's taxonomy places the organism in Eukaryota, Metazoa, Chordata, Actinopteri, Salmoniformes, Salmonidae. The transcript has 4 exons.
UCUCUCUGUGAGUCGGAAACCGAGUGGUCGAAGAGAUGCCAAUUCGUUAGUAGGUGAACGGACGAGUCCUCCCCUCUAGCCACCUUUCAUCAGUAUAGUCAUGUGGGUCCUUGUGGAAGAGUUUUGAAGUCUGCCACACCUCCUUUCAAUCUUCUUUUGUUUUGUCUAAGGAGAAAAGUGUGUACACAUUUAGAACGAUAAGUAGCAAAUUGUUUAAAAUGUCUUGCACAUCUAACUUAAUUUAUCACUUUACACUUAUUUUGGGAUUCACGCAGAGAGAACGUUUGCUAAGUGCGUCGAGGCAUGUUGAUUCUGGUCGGAUCGAAAUAAAUUGUCAGUUUUCUCCGUUUCCAACUCUCCUUAACGUUCAAAUGAUUACACAAAACUGAUGGAUCCUAGAGAUAUAUCACCUACAGUGCAUUCGGAAAGUAUUCAGACCCCUUGACUUUUUCCACAUUUUAUUACGUUACAGCCUUAUUCUAAAAUGGAUUAAAUUGUUUUUCCCCCUCAUCAAUCUAUACACAAUACCCUAUAAUGACAAAGCAAAAACAGGUUUUAGAUUUUAUUUUUUACAAAAGAAAUAUAGAUAUAUAGAGAAAUAUAUAGAUAUUACAUUUACAUAAGUAUUCAGACCCUUUAAUCAGUACUUUGUUGAAGCAGCUUUGGCAGCAAUUACAGCCUUGAGUCUUCUUGGGUAUGACACUACAAGCUUGGCACGCCUGUAUUUGUGUAGUUUCUCCCACGCUUCUCUGCAGAUCCUCAAGCGCAGUCAGGUUGAGUGGGGAGCGUUGCUGCAAAGCUAUUUUCAGGUCUCUUCAGAAAUGUUGGGUUCAAGUCCGGGCUCUGGCUGGGCCACCCAAGGACUUGUCCUAAAGCCACUCCUGCGUUGUCUUGGCUGUGUGCUUCGUGUUGUCCUGUUGGCAGGUGAACCUUCGCCCCAGUCUGAGGUCCUGACCGCUCUAGCAGGUUUUCAUCAAGGUUCUCUUUGUAAUUUGCUCUGUUUAUCUUUCCCUCGAUCCUGACUAGUCUUCCUGCUGCUGAAUAACAUACCCACAGCAUGACAUACCCACCAUGCUUCACCGUAGGGGUGGUGCCAGGUUUCCUCCAGACGUGACUCUUGGCAUUCAGACUAAAGAGUUGGUUGGUUUCAUCAGACCAGAUAAUCUUGUUUCUCUUUUUUUAGGUGCCUUUUGGCAAACUCCAGCGGGCUGUCAUGUGCCUUUUACUGAGGAGUGGCUUCUGUCUGGCCACUCUACCAUAUAGGCCUUAUUGGUGGAGUGCUGCAGAGAUGGUUAUCCUUCUGGAAGGUUCUCCCAUCUCCACAGAGGAACUCUAGAACUCUGUCAGAGUGACUAUCGGGUUCUUGGUCACCUCCCUGAUCAUUGUCCUUCACCGAUUGCUCAGUUUGGCCGGGCGGCCAGCUCUAGGAAGAGUGUCGGUGGUUCCAAACUUCUUCCAUUUAAGAAUGAUGGAGGCCUAUGUGUUUUUGGGGGACCAUCAAUGCUGCAGAAUUGUUUUGCUAUCCUUCCCCAUUGUAGAGUAAUAGUGAAGACAUCAAAACUAUGAAAUCACACAUAGAAUCAUGUAGUAACCAGCAUAGUGUCAAGCAAAUCAAAAUAUAUUUUAGAUUCUUCAAAGUAGCCCCCUUUUGCACAAUCUUGGCAUUCUCUCAACCAGCUUCAUGAGAAAUUAUUUUCCAACUGUCUUUCCAGCACAUUCUGAAUACUUGUUGGCUGCUUUUCCUUCACUCCAUGGUCCAACUCAUCCCAAACCAUCUCAAUGGGGAUGAGGCUAGGUCAUCUGAUGCAGUACUCCAUCACUCUCCUUCUUGGUCAAAUAGCUCUUACACAGCCUGGUGGUGUGUUUUGGGUCAUUGUCCUGUUGAAAAACAAAUUACAGUCCCACCAAACGCAAACCAGAUGGGAUGGCAUAUCGCUGCGGAAGCCAUGCUGGUUGAAUGUGCCUUGAAUUCUAAAUAAAUCACCCACCGUGAUGUCCAUUGCUGGUGUUUCUUGACCCAAGCAAGUCUCUUUCUUAUUAUUGGUGUCCUUUUAGUAGUGGAUUCUUUGCGUGAAUCAGGCCUUCGAAUUGCUGCAGUCUCCUCUGAACAGUUGUUGUUGAGGUGUGUCUGUUACCCAAUUUUUGUAUUUUUAUUUAACCUUUUAUUUAAUUAGUUAAUAACCUUUUAUUUAAGCAGUUAAGAACAAAUUCUUAUUUACAAUGACAGCCUACCCCGGCCAAACUCAGACGACGCUGGGCCAAUUGUGCGCUGCCCUAUGGGACUCCUAACCACGGCUGUAUGUGAUACAGCCUGGAAUCGAACCAGGGACUGUAGUGACGCCUCUUGCACUGAGAUGCAGUGGCUUGGACCGCUGCGCCACUCGGGAGCCCAGAUAGGGCUAUCUUAUGUAUACCACCCCUACCUGGUCACAAAGCAACUGAUUGGCUCGAAUGCAUUAAGAAGGAAAGAAAUUCCGUAAAUUAACUUUUAUCAAAUCGCACCUGUUCAUUGAAAUGCAUUCCAAAUGUCUACCUCAUGAAGCUGGUUGAGAGAAUGCCAAGAAUGUGCAAAGCUGUCAAGGCAAAGGGUGGGCAACUUUGAUGAAUCUCAAAUAAACCAAUCAAAACAUAUUUUCGAACACUUUUUUGGAUACUACAUGAUUCCAUGUGUGUUAUUUUUGAAAGGAGAAAAUAGCAAAAAUACAGAAACUCUUGAAUGAGUAGGUGUGUCAACUUUUGACUGGUACUGUAGGUCUGUAGCCUAUACCAUUUAUCUUUUAAUACAGUCAUCUCUUGUUUAAUUUGCAGCGUCUUUAUAUCCUUUGCCAUGUUAGGCAAAAAAAUGGGCAAGUUUAUUUGUAGUCAGUCAAAUUUGGUUCACGGUCACAAAGAUGGAUGAACAUUUUGAUUUUGCGUUUAGCGGAUAUCUUCUGUGUAUAAAGUGACGUGGAAGGUCAAAGAAAGCAUCAAGCGACGUGCUUAGCUGUUCCACGACUGGUCUGAAGCAGUCGUUAAAUAACAAGCGUUUUCAAGAGCAACUUUGGUAACGAUGGUUUUGAGAAAAUGUGAACUUGACAUGCAACAAUUUUAAAGAUUUUACUUAGGUACAGUUCGUAUAAGGAAAUUCAUUUUAAUGAAUGAAUUAGGCCCUAAUCUAUGGAUUUCACAUGACUGGGAAUACAGAUAUGCAUCUGUUGGUCACAGAUAUCUUCAAAGAAAAAAAUGGGCCACAGGAUCUCGUCACGGUAUCUCUGUGCACUCAAAUUGCCAUCGAUAAAAUGCAAUUGUGUUCGUUGUCCGUAGCUUAAGCCUGUCCAUGCCAUAACCCCACCGCCACCACGGGGCACACUGUUCACAGCUUUGACAGCGUUUCGCCCAUACAACACCAUACACGUAAGUCCGGUUGGACGUACUGCCAAAUUCUCUAAAACGACGACGAAGUUGGCUUAUGUUCUCAGGCAUCAGCUCUGGUGGACAUUCCUGCAGUCAACAUGCAAAUUGCACACUCCCUCAAAAGUUGAGACAUCUGCAGCCUUUUAUUGCCCCCAGCACAAGUUUCACCUGUGUAAUGAUCAUGCUGUUUAAUCAGCUUCUUGCUAUGCCACACCUGUCAGGUGGAUGGAUUAUCUUAGGAAAGGAGAAAUGCUCACUAACAGAGAUGUAAACAAAUGGGACCAACACAUUACAUGUUCUGUAGAUCUUUGUUGUUGUUCAGUGUAGCUUUUGGAAAACCAGGCCCAGGUAGAGUGCUUAACCAGUACAUUUUGACCAAUCAUUUAGAGGGAGGAGUAUGGUGUGAGUUUAAAUGUAUUGUUGAGGAGGCGAAUUACGCAUUUUACACACAUUUCUAACUUUCUAUGCAAUGCUGUCAAUGGAUACAUAAUGCUGUUCUAUUUCAAGGUUCAGCAUAGGAGUCUUAUUUUCCACAGGUUUAAGGUCUCUUGUCUUUGUUGAAAGGAUAACUGAGGCUGCUGAAAGAAUAGAGUUGCUGUGGCAACAGGCCUUUUCUAAGGCCCACCUCCAGGUGCAGGUCUACCAGCUGUGUGAUGAGGCACAGCAGGUGGGUUAUAAUACAUAACAAUUACUCCAGGGUUGUGUUCAUUAGGGCAUGCAACAUAAAAUAUUUGUGCAAAAUAUCCAGGUAGUCCCUCACUGUUUUAAGUGCGUUUUUCUUCCAUUUGGUGCCCAAUGAAAAUGACCCAUCAUGCGUUUUUGUUUAUUUUUGGUUAAUUUACCUCCACUUGCAGAUAGCUUUUAAUCUGUUCAGUUAUCAAAAAGAGAAGCUCCAGACGUACAGAAUCGAGAUUGCUAAAGAUGCGAGGAAGGCUGAGACGUUAACAUCUGAAUUUGAGGCAUCCAUCUAUACACCUGCCAUGGCUCUAGGCCGCUGUGCUGAGGAUGUGAUCCACACGUUAGCUGACACUCUGCUUCCUGGUGAUGCCCAGACCAGGGAAGAGUGGGUGCAGGAUCCGGACAGACUGAAGGAGAACUUCCACUCUGCUGUAGAGCGCCCUCAUCAGACCCUCGGAGCAGUCGCCGACUUCGACCACUACUACAACAAAGCCAAUAGCUGGUACAGCAUCGUCCUGUGUGAGAACUUUCUCCAAGACCUUCUGUGGGGUGUGAACUGUGACAGCCUCCCCAAACGGUACCACCCGCUGGAGAUGCAUGGCCCUGACCCUGUGUGAAGGCAGGCGGUCUGUGACUUCCUGAGAAGGAACCCCUCCCCAGACAUGGAGUAGCUGGUCCAGCUGGCUCACCUGGCCAAUGUCAUCCCUGACGCCCAGCUCUAGCAGAAGGGCAAACAGCUGUCACAAAGGUGCAUGAACCUGCGAAAACUCCUGACUUCUCCAGGGGCAGUACCUAUCUGCAGUGGCAGUAUGAGUUUCUGAGAGCCCGCCACAGGAAAGGGCCUGGGCCACACACUAACCUGGGUGUGGGUGGAGGCCCCGAGGCCAUUAACAGUCCAGGCGGGGCAUUAUGUAGUCUCCAAAAAACCUCUCGUUCCAGAUCAGACUGACAACCUGCACAGCCGUAGCUCCCUCUCUAACCUCAAACACCAAGUCCUUCUAGGUACGUCCCCCUCCAGUGCUAUCUCUGGGGCUGUGUCUGCUGUGGGGAAUACUCCCUCUCUCAGCUCCUCUGACUGGUGUUGAUGGAGCAGGAAGCAGCCAUGUGGAGACUGGG